Molecule: ribosomal RNA, 462 nt
Filed under: uncultured bacterium
Lineage: Bacteria
Description: partial 16S ribosomal RNA
Rfam family: Bacterial small subunit ribosomal RNA
Source: RNAcentral
GACGAACGCUGGCGGCGUGCUUAACACAUGCAAGUCGAACGGAAAGGCCCUUCGGGGUACUCGAGUGGCUAACGGGUGAGUAACACGUGGGUGAUCUGCCCUGCACUUUGGGAUAAGCCUGGGAAACUGGGUCUAAUACCGAAUAGGACCGCGCGCUUCAUGGUGUGUGGUGGAAAGCUUUUGCGGUGUGGGAUGGGCCCGCGGCCUAUCAGCUUGUUGGUGGGGUAAUGGCCUACCAAGGCGACGACGGGUAGCCGGCCUGAGAGGGUGACCGGCCACACUGGGACUGAGAUACGGCCCAGACGCCUACGGGAGGCAGCAGUGGGGAAUAUUGCACAAUGGGCGCAAGCCUGAUGCAGCGACGCCGCGUGAGGGAUGACGGCCUUCGGGUUGUAAACCUCUUUCACCAGGGACGAAGCGCAAGUGACGGUACCUGGAGAAGAAGCACCGGCCAACUACGUG